Molecule: transfer RNA, 67 nt
Filed under: Haliotis iris (paua abalone)
Lineage: Eukaryota; Metazoa; Mollusca; Gastropoda; Lepetellida; Haliotidae
Description: tRNA-Val
Source: RNAcentral
UGGGGUAUAGUAUAAUUUAUUACGUUUCGCUUACAUUGAAAAUAUAGCUCGAUAGGGCUUGCCCUGA